RNAcentral lists this small nuclear RNA (354 nucleotides) under Erinaceus europaeus (western European hedgehog). RNAcentral describes it as "7SK RNA". It matches the Rfam family "7SK RNA". From Rfam's summary of the family: 7SK was discovered as an abundant small nuclear RNA in the mid-70s but a possible function has only recently been suggested. Two independent studies have found that 7SK RNA binds the CDK9/cyclin T complex (known as elongation factor P-TEFb). Lineage: Eukaryota; Metazoa; Chordata; Mammalia; Eulipotyphla; Erinaceidae. The record is from Rfam by way of RNAcentral.
GGAUGUGAGGGCAAUCUGGCUGUGACAUCUGUCACCCUAUUGAUCACACCAGGGUUGAUUCAGCUGAUCUGGCUGGCUAGGCGGCUGUCCCCUUUCUCCCUCACUGCUUCAUGUGUGUCCCUUCUGAAGCUGUGUGCUCAGUCAAAGAGGAUGGCCUUCCCUGAAUAGAGAUGGAUGUAUCUUUGGUAUACAAGUAAGGUAUACAAGUAGCUACACUCCCCUGCUAGAACCUCCAAAUAAGCUCUCAAGGAAUAGAGCAGGUGAGAUUAGGGAUCUUAGGGUAGAAGAAAGCUAGGAAGUCCAUUCUAGGCAUGUUCCUGGGGGUACACAACUGUGGUAGUUUUGCCUGAGUUU